Molecule: long non-coding RNA, 1816 nt
Filed under: Cervus hanglu yarkandensis (Yarkand deer)
Lineage: Eukaryota; Metazoa; Chordata; Mammalia; Artiodactyla; Cervidae
Description: lncRNA (ENSCHYG00000020412.1)
Source: RNAcentral
GGUGACUCAGCAGUAAGGAAUCCACCUGCGAUGCAGGAGACACAGGAGAUGUGGGUUUGAUCUCUGGGUCAGAGAGAUCCCCUGGAGGAGGACAUGGCAACCAGCUCCAGUAUUCUUGUCAGGAAUAGUUCAUGGGGUCACAAGUUGGAGACAACAGAGCACGCAUGCAGGAAAGGAUUUGGUGUUGAGAAGGGUGCUGUGGGGUUAAGGUCUAAAGGGAAGGGAGUCAAGCAGUUAGUGGUGGAAGGAUGAGAAAAAUUCCACGCACCCACCAGGAGUUCUUCUUCUCCUUCUAUAUACUGGGAGGAGAUAUUCCGUUGCUUUGAGUGAUCCCCAUCUAUGCUGGCUGAGCCAUGCACACCAGCAGAUGUUCCCUCGAUAUUUGUGACAACAGUAAAAACACUGUGCUAGGGUGUCAGGGCAGGCUGGAGGCAGAGAGAAUAGACCAGGGCCAUUGUUUAAGUGGGUGAAGGGCAGGAGAUGCUAACUGAGAGGGUAAAGACCAGAAGGACCCUGCAUUCUAUGGCUUUGUAGGGGCUGGGAGCUCUGUUUAUUUUUUCAAAGGGACUCUAAACACAUAUUCUUGCCACUUCCUCUUGGUCCCAAUUUUGCCCUGGUAUCUGUAAGAAUAAAAUGUGUCCCUUUUAUAUAGAGCAUCUCUGCAGAUGCUUGAUGACAGCUUCUGUGUGUCUUCCUCCUUUCCUCCCCAGUACAUUCACUGAUCAUUCAUUCUGGUGUCCAUCCAAUACGUAUUUAGUAACUGAACGCUCUUUACAAGCCUUUUUCCAGAGACUCUGCUAGGUGCUGGGGGUAUUGGAAAUGAAGAAUGGACCUGUGUUUAAUGAGAGGACUGACAUGUGGACAGCUGAUGACACCACAACCUCACAAAUGAUCUGGAAGAGAGAGGCAUUCAGCUGAGGUCUGUUGGUGGAAGAGGACAAUAAGAAGACUUCUCUGAGGAAACACCAUGACUGCAGAAGAUGCAGACCCAACUGGCUCUCUGGCUCAGCUUCUGGGAUGUGACCCUGGGCUUUCGAAGACAGUGCCAGCAGCUGGGACAGAGAGCCAUUUGAGAUGGAAGUGGGAACAGGAAGCCCACUGUCUCAGAGGACAGGACCUGGGAUGGUGCUCCCCAAGUGAUGGAGGGCUGCAGGGAGUCAGAACAGUGGGGGAGUGAUGGGAGGAGCCAACACCCUUGUGUUCCAGCCUGGCAUCAGGUUGAUCAAGAUCAUAAACAUCCUAGAUGUGUUCAUGACCUUAGCAUCACCGAGGUGAAAGGACCUGGUGUGAAUCUGAUAACUUGGUGACAAUGUCUUAUUUGCUUUGUGUCUCCAGCAACUAGCAUGGAAGCCCAAUAAAUGUUUAUUGGAUGAAUGAAGGGAUGGAUGGAUAUAUGAAUGAAUGAACAGUGAAUGAGUAGAUGAAAAGAAAUGAGCCCUGAACAUCCAUAAAACCUCCAACUCACAACCUUAUAUCCUCCAGUAUAGUCCCUGUUUAUGCUACUAGGUUUUAGCUUAAGUUCUCCUGUCUCAUACUGUCUACCUGAUCCCUCCUCUGAGCUUAGUUGGAAUAAAUUCUUUCAGGGAUCCAUCAAAGGAUCACUUCCAAUACCAUUAAGCAUUGUCCAUGGUCCUCCCUUGAAUUUACUGGUUACCUGAACUCACCAUCCAUAUGAUUUCCAGCACUGCCCUGAACCCCAAGGGUGCAGCAGCACCAGCUAGCCUUGUCUGAGGACAGAACCCUGUCUGUUCUGUAUUAUGUCCGAUGGUCUGGCUGCACCUCAGGACCAGCAGCAGCAGAAUUAGAGUCCCCCAAC